Molecule: ribosomal RNA, 482 nt
Filed under: uncultured bacterium
Lineage: Bacteria
Description: bacterial SSU rRNA
Rfam family: Bacterial small subunit ribosomal RNA
Source: RNAcentral
AGAGUUUGAUCCUGGCUCAGAACGAACGCUGGCGGCAUGCCUAACACAUGCAAGUCGAACGGGAUCCGAGCUUCGGUUCGGUGAGAGUGGCGGACGGGUGAGUAACGCGUGGGAACCUGCCCAGUGGUGGGGGAUAACUGCGGGAAACUGCAGCUAAUACCGCAUGAGCCCGAGAGAGGAAAGAUUUAUCGCCAUUGGAGGGGCCCGCGUUCGAUUAGGUAGUUGGUGAGGUAACGGCUCACCAAGCCGACGAUCGAUAGCUGGUCUGAGAGGAUGAUCAGCCACACUGGGACUGAGAUACGGCCCAGACUCCUACGGGAGGCAGCAGUGGGGAAUAUUGGACAAUGGGGGCAACCCUGAUCCAGCAAUGCCGCGUGAGUGAUGAAGGCCUUCGGGUUGUAAAGCUCUUUUGCCAGGGACGAUGAUGACGGUACCUGGAGAAUAAGCCCCGGCUAACUUCGUGCCAGCAGCCGCGGUAAUAC